GGAGAGGUCGCAUAGUCCGGUCUAGUGCGCGCGACUCGAAAUCGCGUGUGGUUCUGCCACCGGGGGUUCGAAUCCCUCCCUCUCCG
Molecule: transfer RNA, 86 nt
Filed under: Chloroflexota bacterium
Lineage: Bacteria; Bacillati; Chloroflexota
Also listed under: 1 other name
Description: Chloroflexi bacterium tRNA-Ser
Rfam family: tRNA
About the family: Transfer RNA (tRNA) molecules are approximately 80 nucleotides in length.
Source: RNAcentral